UGGAGCAUGUGGUUUAAUUCGAAGCAACGCGAAGAACCUUACCAGGUCUUGACAUCCUUUGACCACUCUAGAGAUAGAGCUUCCCCUUCGGGGGCAAAGUGACAGGUGGUGCAUGGUUGUCGUCAGCUCGUGUCGUGAGAUGUUGGGUUAAGUCCCGCAACGAGCGCAACCCUUAUUGUUAGUUGCCAUCAUUCAGUUGGGCACUCUAGCAAGACUGCCGGUGACAAACCGGAGGAAGGUGGGGAUGACGUCAAAUCAUCAUGCCCCUUAUGACCUGGGCUACACACGUGCUACAAUGGGAAGUACAACGAGUUGCGAAGUCGCGAGGCUAAGCUAAUCUCUUAAAGCUUCUCUCAGUUCGGAUUGCAGGCUGCAACUCGCCUGCAUGAAGCCGGAAUCGCUAGUAAUCGCGGAUCAGCACGCCGCGGUGAAUACGUUCCCGGGCCUUGUACACACCGCCCGUCACACCACGAGAGUUUGUAACACCCGAAGUCGGUGAGGUAACCUUUUGGAGCCAGCCGCCUAAGGUGGGAUAGAUGAUUGGGGUGAAGUCGUAACAAGGUAGCCGUAUCGGAAGGUGCGGCUGGAUCACCUCCUUUCUAAGGAA
RNAcentral lists this ribosomal RNA (607 nucleotides) under Enterococcus faecium. RNAcentral describes it as "bacterial SSU rRNA". It matches the Rfam family "Bacterial small subunit ribosomal RNA", at positions 933 to 1533 of the family's 1533-position model. The record is from RNAcentral. Lineage: Bacteria; Bacillati; Bacillota; Bacilli; Lactobacillales; Enterococcaceae.